GGUCAAGCGAACAAGUGCAUGUGGUGGAUGCCUUGGCGAUCACAGGCGAUGAAGGACGCGGUAGCCUGCGAAAAGCUUCGGGGAGCUGGCAAACGAGCAUUGAUCCGAAGAUGUCCGAAUGGGGAAACCCGGCCCGUAUGGGUCAUCCAUGACUGAAUCCAUAGGUCAUGUGAAGCGAACGCGGUGAACUGAAACAUCUAAGUAACCGCAGGAAAAGAAAUCAACCGAGAUUCCCAAAGUAGUGGCGAGCGAAAUGGGAUCAGCCUGUACUCUUUAUCUGUGUUGUUAGCUGAACGCUCUGGAAAGUGCGGCCAUAGCAGGUGAUAGCCCUGUAAGCGAAAACAGCGUGGAAGAACUAGGGGUACGACAAGUAGGGCGGGACACGUGAAAUCCUGUCUGAAGAUGGGGGGACCAUCCUCCAAGGCUAAAUACUCGUGAUCGACCGAUAGUGAACCAGUACCGUGAGGGAAAGGCGAAAAGAACCCCGGGAGGGGAGUGAAAUAGAUCCUGAAACCGCAUGCAUACAAACAGUCGGAGCCUCGCAAGGGGUGACGGCGUACCUUUUGUAUAAUGGGUCAGCGACUUACGUUCAGUAGCGAGCUUAACUGAUUAAGGCAGGCGUAGCGAAAGCGAGUCCGAAUAGGGCGAUCAGUUGCUGGGCGUAGACCCGAAACCAAGUGAUCUAUCCAUGGCCAGGUUGAAGGUGCGGUAACACGUACUGGAGGACCGAACCCACUAACGUUGAAAAGUUAGGGGAUGAGCUGUGGAUAGGGGUGAAAGGCUAAACAAACUUGGAAAUAGCUGGUUCUCUCCGAAAACUAUUUAGGUAGUGCCUCGUGUAUCACCUUCGGGGGUAGAGCACUGUCAUGGUUGUGGGGUCCAUUGCGGAUUACUACGCCAUAGCAAACUCCGAAUACCGAAGAGUGCAAUCACGGGAGACAGACAUCGGGUGCUAACGUCCGGUGUCAAGAGGGAAACAACCCAGACCGCCAGCUAAGGUCCCAAAGAUUGGCUAAGUGGGAAACGAAGUGGGAAGGCUAAAACAGUCAGGAGGUUGGCUUAGAAGCAGCCACCCUUUAAAGAAAGCGUAAUAGCUCACUGAUCGAGUCGUCCUGCGCGGAAGAUGUAACGGGGCUCAAGCCAGUCACCGAAGCUGCGGAUGCGAGUUUUACUCGCAUGGUAGGAGAGCGUUCCGUAAGCCUGCGAAGGUGCGUUGAAAAGCGUGCUGGAGGUAUCGGAAGUGCGAAUGCUGACAUGAGUAGCGAUAAAGGGGGUGAAAAGCCCCCUCGCCGUAAGCCCAAGGUUUCCUACGCAACGUUCAUCGGCGUAGGGUGAGUCGGCCCCUAAGGCGAGGCAGAAAUGCGUAGCUGAUGGGAAGCAGGUCAAUAUUCCUGCACCAUUGUUAGAUGCGAUGGGGGGACGGAUCGCGGAAGGUUGUCCGGGUGUUGGACGUCCCGGUCGCUGCAUUGGAGAAGGUGCUCAGGCAAAUCCGGGCACAGGAUUCAAGGGUGUGGCGCGAGUGACUUCGGUCACGAAGCAAUUGGAAGUGGUUCCAAGAAAAGCCUCUAAGCUUCAGUCUAACGAUGACCGUACCGCAAACCGACACAGGUGGGCGAGAUGAGUAUUCUAAGGCGCUUGAGAGAACUCGGGAGAAGGAACUCGGCAAAUUGGUACCGUAACUUCGGGAUAAGGUACGCCUCUGUAGCUUGACUGGCCUGCGCCAGGAGGGUGAAGAGGUUGCAAUAAACUGGUGGCUGCGACUGUUUAAUAAAAACACAGCACUCUGCAAACACGAAAGUGGACGUAUAGGGUGUGACGCCUGCCCGGUGCCGGAAGAUUAAAUGAUGGGGUGCAAGCUCUUGAUUGAAGUCCCGGUAAACGGCGGCCGUAACUAUAACGGUCCUAAGGUAGCGAAAUUCCUUGUCGGGUAAGUUCCGACCUGCACGAAUGGCGUAACGAUGGCCACACUGUCUCCUCCCGAGACUCAGCGAAGUUGAAGUGUUUGUGAUGAUGCAAUCUCCCCGCGGCUAGACGGAAAGACCCCAUGAACCUUUACUGUAGCUUUGCAUUGGACUUUGAACCGAUCUGUGUAGGAUAGGUGGGAGGCUAUGAAGCCAGGACGCUAGUCUUGGUGGAGCCGUCCUUGAAAUACCACCCUGGUUUGUUUGAGGUUCUAACCUUGGUCCGUGAUCCGGAUCGGGGACAGUGCAUGGUAGGCAGUUUGACUGGGGCGGUCUCCUCCCAAAGUGUAACGGAGGAGUACGAAGGUACGCUAGGUACGGUCGGAAAUCGUGCUGAUAGUGCAAUGGCAUAAGCGUGCUUAACUGCGAGACCGACAAGUCGAGCAGGUGCGAAAGCAGGUCAUAGUGAUCCGGUGGUUCUGUAUGGAAGGGCCAUCGCUCAACGGAUAAAAGGUACUCUGGGGAUAACAGGCUGAUACCGCCCAAGAGUUCAUAUCGACGGCGGUGUUUGGCACCUCGAUGUCGGCUCAUCUCAUCCUGGGGCUGUAGCCGGUCCCAAGGGUAUGGCUGUUCGCCAUUUAAAGAGGUACGUGAGCUGGGUUUAAAACGUCGUGAGACAGUUUGGUCCCUAUCUGCCGUGGGCGUUGGAUAUUUGAAGGGGGCUGCUCCUAGUACGAGAGGACCGGAGUGGACGAACCUCUGGUGUACCGGUUGUCACGCCAGUGGCAUCGCCGGGUAGCUAUGUUCGGAAGAGAUAACCGCUGAAAGCAUCUAAGCGGGAAACUCGCCUUAAGAUGAGAUAUCCCCGGGGCUUCGAGCCCCUUGAAGGGUCGUUCCAGACCAGGACGUUGAUAGGUCAGGUGUGUAAGUGCAGUAAUGCAUUGAGCUAACUGAUACUAAUUGCCCGUAAGGCUUGAUCCU
This is a non-coding RNA of Burkholderia sp. MR1, 2882 nucleotides long. NCBI's taxonomy places the organism in Bacteria, Pseudomonadati, Pseudomonadota, Betaproteobacteria, Burkholderiales, Burkholderiaceae. The record is from Rfam.